UGCUUAGAAAUCAGAAACUCACAUGAAGCAAAUAUGGUAAUGCUGCAUUGGAUUGCAUUUUCUUAGGCAAUUUGAGUGUCGUUCAUUAGGAAACAAUAUCUUUCUUAAUAGACAAUUUAUGUAUUCUGGAAAAGCAAGUAUAGUGUCUAUGUUCAUUUGCAUCCCAGAGUUCCCUAUUUAAAUAUAUGCUGGUAAGAUAAAUCAAAUGUACUGAAGGUGGAUAAAAAUAAAACUGAGAAAUCAAGUAGAUACGAGAGCAUGGUCUAUCUUGGUUGUACAGAGGGCAUGGCCUUGUGGCAUGGAAAUAAGAGCAAGGCAAGAAAGUAUUACAAUAGCGUACCUCUCAGUGAUCGAUUACUGUAAAUUGCUGAUACUGCUAGUAGCAAAAAGAUUAAUGUAGUUGAGCCACUGAACUAAAAAUUAAAUCGAUUUGGAGCUGAUGAAAUAUGAAAAGAUGAAAGAGUGAGGACACAAGGCGAUGAUUUCUAUUGGAGAAGGAUAAUUAUAUGAUUUCUAUCUCCACACACAUAGGAGGAAGCCAUACUUUUCCAAAAAAUAAGUAAAAAGAAAAGAAGGAUCAGAUUGAGAAGGCUAUCAUUUAAAUCAGGUUUGCAUGUGCUAUUUGCCUGAGAAUUCAGGAUACACAAUUUAAUAUCUUGUUGCUACAUUUGUC
RNAcentral lists this long non-coding RNA (673 nucleotides) under Sorghum bicolor (sorghum). Its description in RNAcentral is "long non-coding RNA (SBIC_LNC001407)". Lineage: Eukaryota; Viridiplantae; Streptophyta; Magnoliopsida; Poales; Poaceae. The record is from RNAcentral.